AUUGAACGCUGGCGGCAGGCCUAACACACGCAAGUCGAGCGGAUGAAGGGAGCUUGCUCCUGGAUUCAGCGGCGGACGGGUGAGUAAUGCCUAGGAAUCUGCCUGGUAGUGGGGGAUAACGUCCGGAAACGGGCGCUAAUACCGCAUACGUCCUGAGGGAGAAAGUGUGGGAUCUUCGGACCUCACGCUAUCAGAUGAGCCUAGGUCGGAUUAGCUAGUUGGUGGGGUAAAGGCCUACCAAGGCGACGAUCCGUAACUGGUCUGAGAGGAUGAUCAGUCACACUGGAACUGAGACACGGUCCAGACUCCUACGGGAGGCAGCAGUGGGGAAUAUUGGACAAUGGGCGAAAGCCUGAUCCAGCCAUGCCGCGUGUGUGAAGAAGGUCUUCGGAUUGUAAAGCACUUUUAGUUGGGAGGAAGGGCAGUAAGUUAAUACCUUGCUGUUUUGACGUUACCAACAGAAUAAGCACCGGCUAACUUCGUG
RNAcentral lists this ribosomal RNA (484 nucleotides) under uncultured bacterium. RNAcentral's name for it is "partial 16S ribosomal RNA". It matches the Rfam family "Bacterial small subunit ribosomal RNA", at positions 30 to 507 of the family's 1533-position model. The record is from RNAcentral.